GGAUGUGAGGGCAACCUGGCUGGGACGUCUGUCAUCCCAUUGAGCGCCAGGGUUGACUCGGCUGAUCUGGCUGGCCAGGCGGGUGUCCCCUUUCCCCUUCACCGCUCCACGCACGUCCCUCCCAAAGCUGCAGGCUCCGGGGAAGAGGACGACCUUCCCCGAAUAGAGGAGGCCCGGUCUUCGGUCAGGGGGAUACGAGCAGCUGCGCUCCCCUGCUCGAGCCCCGGAACAAGCUCUCAAGAAAGGAGAAGAGAGCUGGCUGAGCAGCGGCGUGCAUCAGUGGCUCUGGUCAGCUUCUUCAU
Molecule: small nuclear RNA, 302 nt
Filed under: Jaculus jaculus (lesser Egyptian jerboa)
Lineage: Eukaryota; Metazoa; Chordata; Mammalia; Rodentia; Dipodidae
Description: 7SK RNA (ENSJJAG00000006500.1)
Rfam family: 7SK RNA
About the family: 7SK was discovered as an abundant small nuclear RNA in the mid-70s but a possible function has only recently been suggested. Two independent studies have found that 7SK RNA binds the CDK9/cyclin T complex (known as elongation factor P-TEFb).
Source: Rfam by way of RNAcentral